This 872-nucleotide ribosomal RNA is filed under the name Micrococcus sp. RNAcentral's name for it is "bacterial SSU rRNA". It matches the Rfam family "Bacterial small subunit ribosomal RNA", at positions 74 to 968 of the family's 1533-position model. Lineage: Bacteria; Bacillati; Actinomycetota; Actinomycetes; Micrococcales; Micrococcaceae. The record is from RNAcentral.
CCCAGCUUGCUGGGCGGAUUAGUGGCGAACGGGUGAGUAACACGUGAGUAACCUGCCCUUGACUCUGGGAUAAGCCCGGGAAACUGGGUCUAAUACCGGAUAGGAGCGCCUGUCGCAUGACGGGUGCUGGAAAGAUCUUUCGGUCAUGGAUGGACUCGCGGCCUAUCAGCUUGUUGGUGAGGUAACGGCUCACCAAGGCGACGACGGGUAGCCGGCCUGAGAGGGUGACCGGCCACACUGGGACUGAGACACGGCCCAGACUCCUACGGGAGGCAGCAGUGGGGAAUAUUGCACAAUGGGCGAAAGCCUGAUGCAGCGACGCCGCGUGAGGGAUGACGGCCUUCGGGUUGUAAACCUCUUUCAGCAGGGAAGAAGCGAAAGUGACGGUACCUGCAGAAGAAGCACCGGCUAACUACGUGCCAGCAGCCGCGGUAAUACGUAGGGUGCGAGCGUUAUCCGGAAUUAUUGGGCGUAAAGAGCUCGUAGGCGGUUUGUCACGUCUGUCGUGAAAGUCCGGGGCUUAACCCCGGAUCUGCGGUGGGUACGGGCAGACUAGAGUGCAGUAGGGGAGACUGGAAUUCCUGGUGUAGCGGUGGAAUGCGCAGAUAUCAGAGGAACACCGAUGGCGAAAGCAGGUCUCUGGGCUGUAACUGACGCUGAGGAGCGAAAGCAUGGGGAGCGAACAGGAUUAGAUACCCUGGUAGUCCAUGCCGUAAACGUUGGGCACUAGGUGUGGGGACCAUUCCACGGUUUCCGCGCCGCAGCUAACGCAUUAAGUGCCCCGCCUGGGGAGUACGGCCGCAAGCUAAACUCAAGGAAUUGACGGGGCCCGCACAAGCGCGAGCAUGCGAUUAUCGAUGCAACGCGAGACU